This 21-nucleotide microRNA is filed under the name Homo sapiens (human). RNAcentral's name for it is "hsa-miR-4522". Lineage: Eukaryota; Metazoa; Chordata; Mammalia; Primates; Hominidae. The record is from miRBase by way of RNAcentral.
UGACUCUGCCUGUAGGCCGGU